GUUUCCGUAGCUCAGCAGGAUAGAGCACUCGCCUCCUAAGCGAGGGGUCGUGCGUUCGAAUCGCAUCGGGAACG
Molecule: transfer RNA, 74 nt
Filed under: Lachnospiraceae bacterium
Lineage: Bacteria; Bacillati; Bacillota; Clostridia; Lachnospirales; Lachnospiraceae
Description: tRNA-Arg
Rfam family: tRNA
About the family: Transfer RNA (tRNA) molecules are approximately 80 nucleotides in length.
Source: RNAcentral